RNAcentral lists this ribosomal RNA (816 nucleotides) under Triticum aestivum (bread wheat). Its description in RNAcentral is "partial small subunit ribosomal RNA". Lineage: Eukaryota; Viridiplantae; Streptophyta; Magnoliopsida; Poales; Poaceae. The record is from RNAcentral.
AUGGAGGUUGCUAUAAAAAGUACAUUGCCAACAAUGACGUACUGUUGGUGCAAAUGGCAUGUUUUGAAAAAGGCUAAAGAGACACUCGGUGGGCUGUACACAAAGAGAUCCGAGUUCAGGGCUGAAUUCCACAAGGUUGUGAACCACAUGCUCACUGUUGAUGAGUUUGAGCGGGCUUGGAAAUUGCUUCUAGAGAAGUUCAACCUGAAAACACACGGUUACAUGACUCAGAUCUACGAGGCUGGAGUUGUAUUGAAAUAUAGAAUGUCUAUAGAGAGGCAUGCAAGCAAGAUUUACACGAGAGCGAUGUUUGACCAGUUGGGGGAGUUGCUUUGCAGGGCUCAUGGUUACAAGGUUGAAGAGGUUGAGAGGAAUCAGGUGUACAGAGCUAUACAUACCCAGGCGGAGAAGCGAGAGAAGUGGGCAAGGAGUGUUUAUCAGAUCAAAAUAACUGAGAAUGUUGAUGGGAUGGAGUGCGAGUGCGGUUUAUUCGAACAUCGUGCUGCCAUCGAGAUACCGAAGAAUUUGAUCAUGAAGCGAUGGACGAGGGACAUACUGCCGGCGCAUCUCCAAGUUUACCAAAGAGACCAUGCUGGUAGCAGGACAAUGACACACAGGCACACAACACUGUAUGUGCACGCGAUGGAGCUUGUCAGGUUGGGAGAUGCAUCUGUCGAAGCUUACCAGAAAGGAAUGGAGAUAAUCAAGAAUGGGAUUGCUUCGCUGGCUGAAUAUGAAAACUGUAGGGAUGGCCUGGCAGUAGAAGACAGACCAUCAUUGCAGCAGGAUGAGCCAGCAACACAAGAUGUCACCUAG